This 458-nucleotide ribosomal RNA is filed under the name uncultured bacterium. Its description in RNAcentral is "partial 16S ribosomal RNA". It matches the Rfam family "Bacterial small subunit ribosomal RNA", at positions 338 to 795 of the family's 1533-position model. The record is from RNAcentral.
CCUACGGGGGACAGCAGUGAGGAAUAUUGGUCAAUGGGCGAGAGCCUGAACCAGCCAAGUCGCGUGAGGGAGUACUGCCCUAUGGGUUGUAAACCUCUUUUGUCGGGGAGCAAAAGCCGGACGUGUCCGGCUGUGAGAGUACCCGAAGAAAAAGCAUCGGCUAACUCCGUGCCAGCAGCCGCGGUAAUACGGAGGAUGCGGGCGUUAUCCGGAUUUAUUGGGGUUAAAGGGUGCGCAGGCGGAUUUUUAAGUCAGCGGUCAAAUCGUGGGGCUCAACCCCAUCCAGCCGUUGAAACUGGGGAUCUAGAGUGUGCGAGAGGUAUGCGGAAUGCGUGGUGUAGCGGUGAAAUGCAUAGAUAUCACGCAGAACCCCGAUUGCGAAGGCAGCAUACCGGUGCACAACUGACGCUCAGGCACGAAAGCGUGGGUAUCGAACAGGAUUAGAUACCCUGGUAGUC